GAAUGUGAGGGAUUAUAUUCUGGCGUGUGGCAUCUGUCACCACAUUGAUUGCCAGGGUUGAUUCCACUGAUCUGGCUGGCUAAGUGGGUGUCCCCUUCCUCCCUCACCACUCCAUGUUCAUCCCUCCUGAAGCUGUGGGCUCCUCUUGAACAGGAUGCCCUUCUCUGAUGGGAGGAGGACCAUCUUUCAGUCAAGGGUAUACGAGUCGCUGCGCUUCCCCGCUAGAACCUCCGAACAAACUCUCAAAUGUACUGGUCUGAUAGAGACUGGUAGAAUCCUUGAAACUACAGCACUUAGAAAAGUCACCCUCCAAAGCCAGAGCUGAAUACGCUCCUU
This 336-nucleotide small nuclear RNA is filed under the name Echinops telfairi (small Madagascar hedgehog). RNAcentral's name for it is "7SK RNA (ENSETEG00000024595.1)". It matches the Rfam family "7SK RNA". From Rfam's summary of the family: 7SK was discovered as an abundant small nuclear RNA in the mid-70s but a possible function has only recently been suggested. Two independent studies have found that 7SK RNA binds the CDK9/cyclin T complex (known as elongation factor P-TEFb). P-TEFb activates transcription by phosphorylating the C-terminal domain of RNA polymerase II. Lineage: Eukaryota; Metazoa; Chordata; Mammalia; Afrosoricida; Tenrecidae. The record is from RNAcentral.